RNAcentral lists this unclassified non-coding RNA (26 nucleotides) under Mus musculus (house mouse). Its description in RNAcentral is "oocyte_clustered_small_RNA13304". Lineage: Eukaryota; Metazoa; Chordata; Mammalia; Rodentia; Muridae. The record is from RNAcentral.
UGAGACGCAUUGGCUUAGCAUGACCA